GAUGAACGCUGGCGGCGUGCCUAACACAUGCAAGUCGAACGAACGGACGAGAAUCUUGCUUCUCUGGUGUUAGCGGCGGACGAGUGAGUAACACGUGGAUAACCUACCUAUAAGACUUGGAUAACUUCGGCAAACCGGAGUUAAUACCAGAUGAUAUUUUGAACUGCAUGGUUCAAAAGUUAAAGACGGUUUUGCUGUGACUUAGAGAUGGAUCCGCGCUGCAUUAGCUAGUUGGUAAGGUAACGGCUUAGCAAGGGAACGAGGCAUAGCGGACGUGAGAGGGGGUGCGGCGACACUGGGGGUGAGACACGGUCCAGAGUCCUACGGGAGGCACCAGAAGGGAAUCUUCCGCAAUGGGCGAAAGCCUGACGGAGAGCCGCCGCGUGAGUGAUGAGGGUCCUCGGGGCGUAAGACUCUCUUAUGAGGGAAAAACAUAUGUUUAAGUAACUGUGCACAUCUUGACGGUACCUAAUCAGAAAGCCACGGCUAACUACGUG
RNAcentral lists this ribosomal RNA (497 nucleotides) under uncultured bacterium. RNAcentral describes it as "partial 16S ribosomal RNA". It matches the Rfam family "Bacterial small subunit ribosomal RNA", at positions 28 to 507 of the family's 1533-position model. The record is from RNAcentral.